Molecule: ribosomal RNA, 429 nt
Filed under: Chloroflexota bacterium
Lineage: Bacteria; Bacillati; Chloroflexota
Description: Chloroflexi bacterium partial 16S ribosomal RNA
Rfam family: Bacterial small subunit ribosomal RNA
Source: RNAcentral
UGGGGAAUAUUGCACAAUGGGCGCAAGCCUGAUGCAGCCAUGCCGCGUGUAUGAAGAAGGCCUUCGGGUUGUAAAGCACUUUCAGUCGGGAGGAAGGUGGUAAGGUUAAUAACCUUAUCAAUUGACGUUACCGACAGAAGAAGCACCGGCUAACUCCGUGCCAGCAGCCGCGGUAAUACGGAGGGUGCAAGCGUUAAUCGGAAUUACUGGGCGUAAAGCGCACGCAGGCGGUUGAUUGAGUCAGAUGUGAAAUCCCCGGGCUUAACCCGGGAAUUGCAUCUGAUACUGGUCAGCUAGAGUCUUGUAGAGGGGGGUAGAAUUCCAUGUGUAGCGGUGAAAUGCGUAGAGAUGUGGAGGAAUACCGGUGGCGAAGGCGGCCCCCUGGACAAAGACUGACGCUCAGGUGCGAAAGCGUGGGGAGCAAACAGG